AGAAAUGUACAGCAAACUUACAUUCAACUAGUUACCGAAACUUUUUUUGAGACUUUCACCUUUUUGUAAAUAAUUAUGUAAAAGAAAUAUGCAAAUGGAGACUUGUGAUAGUUUUCCAUAUUGAUUCAUAUGGUCCUAUCAUGAAAUUGUGCUUCUCUAAAUAAGAUGUGAGACCUAGUAAGACAUUUGUCUAGAACAGAAAGCUGUCCUAUGUAGGUGUCAAAUAUAUUUUAUUUGAUUGUGUCUGUUCUGAUAGUAAAUUUAGCAUUAAAAUUACUUAUUUAGAAUAGAGAGUUUUGCAGGGAGUUAAGGAAAUGUUAAUUCUCCACAUCUUAGUAAAGUAUCUGAAGCUAUUUUUGGUUUCAUUUUCUUAAAAGUUAAGGCCUUUCCUGUCAGUGGAAGCUCUGUAACUGCCAAAACUAAACUAAAAGUCAAAUAAUUAGGCCCUCAACAUAAUGCAGCAUUUUCUGUUUCUGUGUAUGGAGUUAACAUUGCUUUUAAUGUAAGAGUACACAUCGUGGCAGUUAGUGUGGAAAACAACUUUCAGUCUUCCACUCAAAAAUCGUGUUUGCUAUCUCCUGUGUUUGAGAGAAGAAGCUCUAGAACUUUCUUGAAAGCAGUGAUUUGCUGGACUGUACAUGCACAGUGUAUGCUUACAAUCUCAGUGUAUCGUGUAGCUAAUUGGCAACAAGUUGUAAUGUGUUGCUUUCUAUUUUUGUGGGUUUGUUUUUAACUAAUUUAUAUAAACGAGUGAAAGUUUUUACUAGCUGCUUAUUUUUGAGUAUCUUUAAUUUAGCUUAUCCUUUAAAUUUUCAGAAUAAACUGUAUUAAAAUAAAACAUCUAGUCGAGUUCAAAUAAGAUUAUUUUUCUUAAAAUAAAUUUUAGAACGCAUUUUAAAAUAGGUCCAUACUUAUUGUGUGAUUCUGAGAUAUUCUUUGUUGUCUUAGCUAUUGGCCAAAAUCAGAUUUUUCAGAGUGAACAAGAAUAUGAAAAAAAUACUCUCAGAUACUGAAAGUUGUAAAUUAUCCCUGCCUAAUUGAAUUCAGCUUUAUUUACUGCAAUUUUAAUUGUGUCCCUUUUUGAGGCUCUGGUUUGGACAGUAAUUUAGGACAUGUCUGCAGCACACUUACAGGACUGCUUGCAGCCUAUGUAGGCAUCAUCUGAGAUGAUUCUAUUAACUGCAAAACACUAUUGCAACACUACAGUACAACCUGCUGUGUUUUCCAGGCAGCCUGUGUCAAUUCAGAGCUGGCAAGUUCACAAUGCAGUUGUUGCAUUCCUGGCUUAUGUGUAGGUCUGACCAUGUCAGCGGUGAUUUAUAGGCAUGAUCACAUGGCCUGUUUAGUUCAGUGUGUAGGAUUUCAUUUACUGUUGAAGAAGCAAGGGUGUAGACUCAGCAGAGUAUUGAGGCUGCAAGAAUCUCUGAAGGUAUUGACACCUCAUCCAAUCUCCUACACAAAGCAGAGGAAACCUCAAAGUCAAACCCAGCUGCUCAGGGAGAUGGAAUUUGUGCUGGGACCACCUGAGUUAUUCUUGAGAUACCCUUACAGAAAGAGUAAUUCUUCAGAAGUGUGAGAAAAAGGGUAGAAAGACAUGGAUACAGUGGAUGCAGCAUUUUCAGCGUGUUUCCUCUGUUCUUCACUACUUUUCUGCAACUAUGCACUGAAAUCCAUAUUUUUGUGUACUUAUACUGUAAUUGUGGUCAACCCAGAAAACCUGAUGGUUUUCACUCCAGAAAUGUAUGAUGAGGGCUUGGGGUUGGGUUUUUGUUUUGGUUUUUUUGCUUGUUUGUUUUUUUUGUUGUUGUUGGGGUUUUGGGGGGUUGGAUUUUUUGGUUUGGAUUUUUUUGGGGGGUAGUUUGGUUUUGGUUUUGUGGUUGGUUUGUGGUUUUUUUUUUUUUUUAAAAAAGCUUUUUUUUAUUUUAAAAGUUGAAGUAGUUUUUAGGCUUGACCAAAAAGUGGUAAAAGCACUAUAGUAACCCAGGGAAGUAUCAUUGCAAUAAUACGUGCUGCUUGCCAAGGUUCACAUGGGGAAGAAGAUUUGAUUUUGUAUUGAAGUGCAGUGGAAGAUUAAUGUUAGAAAUGUAUCGGUGCCUAAUAUAUACAUUAGACCUGUAAUGGGCACUGAUGCAUCCUGUUGGGAUGCCUGAUUAGUCCAUCCUGCUUGUUGCCUUGCUACCCAGAGACAGGCCUCCUUACCCCAGUCUUCCAAACUACAGAACCAACUCAGAUGUGCCUGGUCAGAAUAGCAGGUUUGAUAUAUUGUCCUUCAGCAUGCAGUGGUUAUGUGUAGCCUCAACAGGUACCCAAGGACAGCUUCAACUACAUCAUUUGCAUGCCUUAUUAUCGCUCUCUUAUGUCAUACUUGUUCUCCCUUUCUCUGCCCUAAUCCCCUCCUGUAUAAACAACCUGCCUUUAGUUACUUCUACCCCACUGGGCCUAGCUUUGCUAAAUCCAUACUGCAUCUGGUGUUUCUCAUACUGUUAUACAUGCAAUCUUGCCCUUACAUGCUGUUACUGGUGCAGUUACUAAGUCCUCCUGACUUGGCACCUCCUUAAAAAGUCCCCAAAACUGAUACCUGUGAAGUUCAGGCACUUUGCUCAUUUGGUGAAACACUGGAACAGGUUGCCCAGGGAGGUGGUAGAUGCCCCAUCCCUUGAAACAUUCAAGGUCAGAUUGGAGGGGGCUCUGAGCAACCCGAUCUAGUUGAAGAUGUCCCUGCUCAUUGCUGGGGGCUGGACUAUACGACCUUCAAGGGUCCCUUCCAACCCAAACUGUUCUAUGAUUCUGUGAUUACUUUUAGCACCUGUGAAAUCUGACCAUCCCUCAUAGUGCUGUUAAUAACUUAUGUCAUCUUCUCACAGUGUUACUAGUCUCAUCAAGUGAUUUUCUCAAGUCAUGUGCCAUAGUUUCCCUCACCCUACUGAAUUAGCUUAUCCUCAAGCCAGAGCCAUCUGCCUGUGACCUUAGCAUGCAGAACAAACCCAAACUUGUUCCUCAAAAAAGGGACAGACCUGUUCUUUUGGCUUGUUUAAGCAUGAAAGAAAUUUCCAGCAAAAAGACAUUUCUAUGGUUUUUUUGAUGUAAGAGAAAGAUAGCAAUUAAAUAUCAGAGAGGAUACCUGGUUUUUUUUUUAAACCACAUCAUAAUAAGCAUUUUUUCUAGUGUUUUGUAAGUGGAACUUGUUAGCAGUCAGAGGAAAAAGCAAAAUAGCAGUGUAUGUUUGCUGAUAUUUACAAUUUUGUUAUAGAAAUGUUCUUGUAUAAUGAACAGAUAAAAUUUGAAUGAAGUUAAAUGUAAAACCAGCUAGCAAUUGGAUAAAGCUUGGUUUUUUUAAUUGAGAUUUUUUUUUUUAAGAGACUGGUCAUCCUAUGAGAGAACAUCAGAACAACAAUUAUAGUGAUGACUUGUUAGGAUCAGAGGAUUUGGAUAUGUGACAUUGAAGCUGACAGAGACUUAAAAAAAAAAAAAAAGUAAUGUUUGCACAUUCUUAGAGUAAUUUAUUUGAAUUUACCUUGUUGUAAGAAUAUACGGGAUCUUUGUGUGGCUAAAAUCACACAUUUUACUUUUUAUUCUUAAUCUUGUGUCUUUAGUAAAUAACUCUGGGUAAACUCAAUCCUGCUUCUUUGAACUAUGUGUUCUGUUUAUCGUUGUUAGUUUCUUGCUUGCGAGAACAUGUGAUCUGUCUAGAUGGGAGAGGGGUUGCUCCCACAACAAUGCUGGUACUCUGCAAAUAGUAUAUAUAAAAAUAUACCAGUGGAAUCAAUGUUGACAAGCAGUUGAGUCUGUUCCAAACCUGGAUGCAAUAUCAGGAUCGCAAAAGAAAAGCUGGGUUCAGUUUUUAUUUUCUUACCUUGGGAAAAUGGGCACUGCUGCCAACUUUUCCUUUUCUUGUCCAAACCAACCAACAGUCCCCUAAAUGAUCAGACAUAAGUGAUGGUGCCAGUUUAAAUGCUUUGUGACCAAGAAAGACACAUACAAGCAUUUAUUGUUACAGAAGAGAUGAUGUUUCUGCAGUUGUUCAGAGGACUGGAAAAGAAAAAAA
Molecule: long non-coding RNA, 4045 nt
Organism: Strigops habroptila (Kakapo)
Lineage: Eukaryota; Metazoa; Chordata; Aves; Psittaciformes; Psittacidae
Exons: 2
Source: RefSeq, a predicted model, not a curated record